GAAUUCAAGGGGAAAAGUCUGGACCAAAUCUUGAUCAGCUCAGAUGACCAAUCUGUAGUUGUGGAAAAAAGCUCAGGGGAGUCAUCUGAAGAUGAAGAUCCAGCUGCUCCAGCAGGAGAGGAACCUGUGACCAGAUGUAAGAAAGGCACUUCAAAGCAGCAGCCUGUAGAGGAGC
Long non-coding RNA from Sphaeramia orbicularis (orbiculate cardinalfish), 175 nucleotides. RefSeq lists it as uncharacterized. NCBI's taxonomy places the organism in Eukaryota, Metazoa, Chordata, Actinopteri, Kurtiformes, Apogonidae. The record is from RefSeq and is a predicted model, not a curated record. The transcript is spliced from 3 exons.